AAGGCCAAGCCAUGGUGUGCAGUGCAGGGCGGGUGCUGCAGGCACCGCUCCAGCAGCAGCAGUGACAGCAGUGACAGCAUGGUGCAGGCACGGUGGGCCCUGGCCCUCAUCCUCCUCCUGGUGGCCCUGCCAGCCAGGGGUGUCGGGGCUGCUCCAUGGCAACCGUGGGCAGUGGGUCCAGAGUAUCAAGAUGGAAGGGGACAAUCUUCCCAGGACACAUCCAAAGUGCUACAUGAAAUCCUUGGACAGCUGAAGAUGAUAGCACAAGGCGCCUCGCAGCUUCGAGAGCCAGCUCUGAGCGCCCCAACAGCCGGGCAGAAGCCAGCAGAAUAUUUGCAGGAGUAUUUAAAUAAAGAUCAGCAGCACAAUCGA
Long non-coding RNA from Neopelma chrysocephalum (saffron-crested tyrant-manakin), 372 nucleotides. RefSeq lists it as uncharacterized. Lineage: Eukaryota; Metazoa; Chordata; Aves; Passeriformes; Pipridae. The record is from RefSeq and is a predicted model, not a curated record. The transcript has 3 exons.